Molecule: ribosomal RNA, 408 nt
Filed under: Candidatus Accumulibacter phosphatis
Lineage: Bacteria; Pseudomonadati; Pseudomonadota; Betaproteobacteria
Description: bacterial SSU rRNA
Rfam family: Bacterial small subunit ribosomal RNA
Source: RNAcentral
UGGUUAAUACCCUGAGUAGAUGACGGUACCGGAAUAAGAAGCACCGGCUAACUACGUGCCAGCAGCCGCGGUAAUACGUAGGGUGCGAGCGUUAAUCGGAAUUACUGGGCGUAAAGCGUGCGCAGGCGGUUUUGUAAGACAGGCGUGAAAUCCCCGGGCUUAACCUGGGAACUGCGUUUGUGACUGCAAGGCUAGAGUACGGCAGAGGGGGGUGGAAUUCCACGUGUAGCAGUGAAAUGCGUAGAGAUGUGGAGGAACACCAAUGGCGAAGGCAGCCCCCUGGGUCGAUACUGACGCUCAUGCACGAAAGCGUGGGUAGCAAACAGGAUUAGAUACCCUGGUAGUCCACGCCCUAAACGAUGUCAACUAGGUGUUGGGAGGGUAAAACCUUUUAGUGCCGUAGCUAAC